This is a long non-coding RNA of Nerophis ophidion (straightnose pipefish), 1230 nucleotides long. RefSeq lists it as uncharacterized. NCBI's taxonomy places the organism in Eukaryota, Metazoa, Chordata, Actinopteri, Syngnathiformes, Syngnathidae. The transcript is spliced from 3 exons. The record is from RefSeq and is a predicted model, not a curated record.
GCUCGUUCCUCUCAGACAGCGGCCGCGCCCCUGGACAGCUGCAGCCAAUCAUAAAUCAGCGCACCUUGAUAUAAUGAGGCUCGUCACCAUAAGGACCAGCGCAGCUUGAGAUCCAGUGCUAGAACGUAGUUCUCUGUCCCUCAAAUACCCUCCGUCGCCUUGGAAUGAGCUGUGCGCCUCACUUCCCUGGACCCCCUCGGAAUUCUGACUGCCUUCCUGAGAACGACCUCUGCUUUGGACAUAGAGCUCUCUCCAGCCCCACAGACCUCCCGUUUGUGUUAUGGACCUUCUUCAGACUAGCCUAGUGUUUUUGAACCUUUUUUGAGCCAAGGCAGAUUUUUUGCGUUCAAAAGAUCCGGAGGCACACCACCAAGAGAAAUCAUAAAAGUACGAAACUCAGUUGACAGUAAAGAGUCAUUGUUGCAAUUAUUGGAUAUGACUUUAAACCAUAACCAAGCAUGCAUCAACAUAGCUCUUGUCUCAAAGUAGGUGUACUGUCACGACCUGGCACAUCACACAGUGACUUAUUUGGAGUGUUUUGCUGUUUUCCUUUGUAUAGUGCUUUAGUUAUUGUCUUGUGCUCCUAUUUUGGUAGCUUUUUCUCAUUUUUUGGAUCUCCCUGUAUCAGUUUCAUGUCUUCCUUGAGCGAUAUUUCCCGCAUCUACUUUGUUUUAGCAAUCAAGAAUAUUUUAGUUGUUUUUAUCUUUCUUUGUGGGGACAUUGUUGAUUGUCAUAACAUAUUCGGAUGUACAUUGUGGAAGCCGUCUGUGCUCCACAGUAAGUCUUUGCUGUCGUCCAGAAUUCUGCUUUUGUUUACUUUGUAGCCAGUUCAGUUUUAUUCUCAUUAUGCAUAGCCUUCCCUAAGCUUAAACUCACCAUUUGUUUAUUUUUUGUUUAAGCAUUAGACACCUUUUUACCUGCACGCUGCUUCCCGCUGUUUCCGACAUCUACAAAGGAAUUAGCUACCUGCUGCCACCUACUCAUAUGGACGAGUUUUACACGGUUACUCUGCCGAGCUCUAGACAGCACCGACACUCAACAAUAACAGAUUAUAUGCAGACUAUAAUUACUCAUUUUCAAAAAAUAUCUGUAACCCAAAUUGGUGAAAUUAGAUAAUCUCCCACGCACACCAGACUUUAUCUCAUGGCAUACUAAUGCCGCGGCAAAGUGGUUGAAAAACACUGGCUUAUCCCCUUUGAACUUGUCCUCAUCCUCAACCAACACGCACCU